GAUACCACCCUUGUAGUACUGGGACUCUAACCAUAGGCCAUGAAUCUGGUCUUGGGACACUGUCAGGUGGGCAGUUUGACUGGGGCGGUCGCCUCCCAAAAGGUAACGGAGGCGCUCAAAGGUUCUCUCAGUACGGUCGGAAAUCGUACGUAGAGUGUAAAGGCAAAAGAGAGCUUGAUUGCAAGACAUACAGGGCGAGCAAGGAUGAAAAUCGGACUUAGUGAUCCGGUGGUUCUGCGUGGAAGGGCCAUCGCUCAACGGAUAAAAGCUACCCUGGGGAUAACAGGCUUAUCUCCCCCAAGAGUCCACAUCGACGGGGAGGUUUGGCACCUCGAUGUCGGCUCAUCAC
Molecule: ribosomal RNA, 349 nt
Filed under: Clostridioides difficile
Lineage: Bacteria; Bacillati; Bacillota; Clostridia; Peptostreptococcales; Peptostreptococcaceae
Description: bacterial LSU rRNA
Rfam family: Bacterial large subunit ribosomal RNA
Source: RNAcentral